Molecule: ribosomal RNA, 1279 nt
Filed under: Escherichia sp. E4930
Lineage: Bacteria; Pseudomonadati; Pseudomonadota; Gammaproteobacteria; Enterobacterales; Enterobacteriaceae
Description: partial 23S ribosomal RNA
Rfam family: Bacterial large subunit ribosomal RNA
Source: RNAcentral
GAAAGCUAUUUAGGUAGCGCCUCGUGAAUUCAUCUCCGGGGGUAGAGCACUGUUUCGGCAAGGGGGUCAUCCCGACUUACCAACCCGAUGCAAACUGCGAAUACCGGAGAAUGUUAUCACGGGAGACACACGGCGGGUGCUAACGUCCGUCGUGAAGAGGGAAACAACCCAGACCGCCAGCUAAGGUCCCAAAGUCAUGGUUAAGUGGGAAACGAUGUGGGAAGGCCCAGACAGCCAGGAUGUUGGCUUAGAAGCAGCCAUCAUUUAAAGAAAGCGUAAUAGCUCACUGGUCGAGUCGGCCUGCGCGGAAGAUGUAACGGGGCUAAACCAUGCACCGAAGCUGCGGCAGCGACACUAUGUGUUGUUGGGUAGGGGAGCGUUCUGUAAGCCUGCGAAGGUGUGCUGUGAGGCAUGCUGGAGGUAUCAGAAGUGCGAAUGCUGACAUAAGUAACGAUAAAGCGGGUGAAAAGCCCGCUCGCCGGAAGACCAAGGGUUCCUGUCCAACGUUAAUCGGGGCAGGGUGAGUCGACCCCUAAGGCGAGGCCGAAAGGCGUAGUCGAUGGGAAACAGGUUAAUAUUCCUGUACUUGGUGUUACUGCGAAGGGGGGACGGAGAAGGCUAUGUUGGCCGGGCGACGGUUGUCCCGGUUUAAGCGUGUAGGCUGGUUUUCCAGGCAAAUCCGGAAAAUCAAGGCUGAGGCGUGAUGACGAGGCACUACGGUGCUGAAGCAACAAAUGCCCUGCUUCCAGGAAAAGCCUCUAAGCAUCAGGUAACAUCAAAUCGUACCCCAAACCGACACAGGUGGUCAGGUAGAGAAUACCAAGGCGCUUGAGAGAACUCGGGUGAAGGAACUAGGCAAAAUGGUGCCGUAACUUCGGGAGAAGGCACGCUGAUACGUAGGUGAAGUCCCUUGCGGAUGGAGCUGAAAUCAGUCGAAGAUACCAGCUGGCUGCAACUGUUUAUUAAAAACACAGCACUGUGCAAACACGAAAGUGGACGUAUACGGUGUGACGCCUGCCCGGUGCCGGAAGGUUAAUUGAUGGGGUCAGCGCAAGCGAAGCUCUUGAUCGAAGCCCCGGUAAACGGCGGCCGUAACUAUAACGGUCCUAAGGUAGCGAAAUUCCUUGUCGGGUAAGUUCCGACCUGCACGAAUGGCGUAAUGAUGGCCAGGCUGUCUCCACCCGAGACUCAGUGAAAUUGAACUCGCUGUGAAGAUGCAGUGUACCCGCGGCAAGACGGAAAGACCCCGUGAACCUUUACUAUAGCUUGACACUGAACA